This 550-nucleotide ribosomal RNA is filed under the name uncultured Glomus. RNAcentral's name for it is "SSU rRNA". It matches the Rfam family "Eukaryotic small subunit ribosomal RNA", at positions 548 to 1099 of the family's 1831-position model. Lineage: Eukaryota; Fungi; Glomeromycota; Glomeromycetes; Glomerales; Glomeraceae. The record is from RNAcentral.
UUGGAGGGCAAGUCUGGUGCCAGCAGCCGCGGUAAUUCCAGCUCCAAUAGCGUAUAUUAAAGUUGUUGCAGUUAAAAAGCUCGUAGUUGAAUUUCGGGGUUAGUAGGUUGGUCAUGCCUCUGGUAUGUACUGGUCUCACUGAUUCCUCCUUCCUGAUGAACCGUAAUGCCAUUAAUUUGGUGUUGCGGGGAAUUUGGACUGUUACUUUGAAAAAAUUAGAGUGUUUAAAGCAGGCUAACGCUUGAAUACAUUAGCAUGGAAUAAUGAAAUAGGACGUUCGAUCCUAUUUUGUUGGUUUCUAGGAUUGACGUAAUGAUUAAUAGGGAUAGUUGGGGGCAUUAGUAUUCAAUUGUCAGAGGUGAAAUUCUUGGAUUUAUUGAAGACUAACUACUGCGAAAGCAUUUGCCAAGGAUGUUUUCAUUAAUCAAGAACGAAAGUUAGGGGAUCGAAGACGAUCAGAUACCGUCGUAGUCUUAACCAUAAACUAUGCCGACUAGGGAUCGGAUGAUGUUAAUUUUUUAAUGACUCAUUCGGCACCUUACGGGAAAAC